Mastomys coucha (southern multimammate mouse) is the source of this 585-nucleotide long non-coding RNA. RefSeq lists it as uncharacterized. The transcript has 3 exons. Lineage: Eukaryota; Metazoa; Chordata; Mammalia; Rodentia; Muridae. The record is from RefSeq and is a predicted model, not a curated record.
CUCUUAGAGGCCUGCAGGUGGAGAUGUAGAGCUCUCAGCUCCUCCUGCACCAUUCCUGUCUGGAUGAUGUCUUGAUCCUGCCUUAAUGAUUAUGGACUGAACCUCUGAACCUUUUUUUAAACAGCUAAAGAUGGACCAAGAUUUAUCACCAGUGGAAAGCAAAGUCAUGUCUCUCAUCAAAAUAAUGGAAACAUACAGUGUGCGUGCAUUAGGUGAAGGUGGUAUAGUGUCCAUGGUGGAAUUCAAAGAGUUGAGGGAAACUCAAUUAACAAAUUUUGUCAAGGAAGACAUUGAGCAUUCUGACCUACCCAAUCAAUCAAAUAAGCUCAGCUUUGCGGAUGCAUGGGACGAGAUAGGAAAAAUGGGAAUCAAGUACUAUGAGAAGAGCAGCAGCAAUACAGUUCAACACUAGCAUCUUCACAGCCAUGGGCCCGACUUUAAAGAGGGUGAGCCAGAGCAACGAAGAAGGAGUUCACAUACCUUGUGUCUGCCCGACCUACCUCUUCUACAAAAUUAAUAUCACAAGCAUUGAAAUUAUGAUUGUGGGCCUUGGAAUGAGUGAAAUAAAAAUAGUUUCCAACCAGU